This is a small nuclear RNA of Mustela putorius furo (domestic ferret), 107 nucleotides long. The record is from Ensembl. NCBI's taxonomy places the organism in Eukaryota, Metazoa, Chordata, Mammalia, Carnivora, Mustelidae.
GUGCUUGCUUCGGCAGCACAUAUACUAAAAUUGGAACGAUACAGAGAAGAGUAUCAUGGCCCAUGCACAAGAAUGACAUGCAAAUUCAUGAAGCAUUCCAUAUUUUU